Bufo bufo (common toad) is the source of this 1556-nucleotide long non-coding RNA. RefSeq lists it as uncharacterized. The record is from RefSeq and is a predicted model, not a curated record. NCBI's taxonomy places the organism in Eukaryota, Metazoa, Chordata, Amphibia, Anura, Bufonidae. The transcript is spliced from 3 exons.
UAAAAAUUUUGUUAAAAAAAUAUAUAUAUAUUGAAGUACUUUACUGCUUCCAUGGACUUUCACUGAUAACAUAAUAUUUGGGCUGGAUUACCCAUUGAUAACAGGUUAUUAAAUGCCAGAAGCAGGAGACUGAAGACCAGAAAGCCUAAACUAUAAGAAAGCAAAGAAUGAUGUCCCGUUUUAUAUGGUAAUGAAAUAUCUAUGAAAUGAGACAUUUGUUUUAUCUUACAACAAUGAUUAUGCUAUAUGUGGAGGUAAGUUAAUGUAGAGCUAAUUUUAUAUGUGCAUAAAUUUAUGUUAAGGUAAGGCUACUUCCACAUAUGCGUUAAAACUAUCUCUCAGGCUGUUCCGGCAGUCUGGCGGAGUUCAUUUUAUCCUGCAUAGAGGUAAAAUAUGUGCAGGUAAGUUUGUGUGGAGAUAAGAUUAUGAGGAGGUAGGUUAAAUGUUGAUUAAGUGCUUUUUUUUGUCUUGUAAUUUUUGACAAUAGAGGUAAGUUUAUGAUGAGGUUAAUUUGUGCGCAGGUAAGUUUAUAUGGAGGUAAAUGUAUGUGCAGGUAAGUUUAUAUGGAGGUAAAUGUAUGUGCAGGUAAGUUUAUAUGGAGGUAAAUGUAUGUGCAGGUAAGUUUAUAUGGAGGUAAAUGUAUGUGCAGGUAAGUUUAUAUAGAGGUAAAUGUAUGUGCAGGUAAGUUUAUAUAGAGGUAAAUGUAUGUGCAGGCAAGUUUAUAUAGAGGUAAAUGUAUGUGCAGGUGAGUUUAUAUGGAGGUAAAUGUAUGUGCAGGUAAGUUUAUAUAGAGGUAAAUGUAUGUGCAGGUAAGUUUAUAUAGAGGUAAAUGUAUGUACAGGUAAGUUUAUAUGGCGAAAAAUGUAUGUGCAGGUGAGUUUAUAUAGAGGUAAAUGUAUGUGCAGGUAAGUUUGUGUGGAGGUAAAUGUAUGUGCAGGUAAGUUUAUAUGGAGGUAAAUGUAUGUGCAGGCAAGUUUAUAUAGAGGUAAAUGUAUGUGCAGGUAAGUUUAUAUGGAGGUAAAUGUAUGUGCAGGUAAGUUUAUAUAGAGGUAAAUGUAUGUGCAGGUAAGUUUAUAUAGAGGUAAAUGUAUGUGCAGGUAAGUUUAUAUGGAGGUAAAUGUAUGUGCAGGUAAGUUUAUAUGGAGGUAAAUGUAUGUGCAGGUAAGUUUGUAUAGAGGUAAAUGUAUGUGCAGGUAAGUUUGUGUGGAGGUAAAUGUAUGUGCAGGUAAGUUUAUAUGGAGGUAAAUGUAUGUGCAGGUAAGUUUAUAUGGAGGUAAAUGUAUGUGCAGGUAAGUUUGUAUAGAGGUAAAUGUAUGUGCAGGUAAGUUUAUAUAGAGGUAAAUGUAUGUGCAGGUAAGUUUGUGUGGAGGUAAAUGUAUGUGCAGGUAAGUUUGUGUGGAGGUAAAUGUAUGUGCAGGUAAGUUUGUGUGGAGGUAAAUGUAUGUGCAGGUAAGUUUGUGUGGAGGUAAAUGUAUGUGCAGGUAAGUUUAUAUGGAGGUAAAUGUAUGUGCAGGUAAGUUUGUAUAGAGGUACUUGUAUGUGCAGGUAAGUUUGUG